This is a non-coding RNA of Microcebus murinus (gray mouse lemur), 1440 nucleotides long. NCBI's taxonomy places the organism in Eukaryota, Metazoa, Chordata, Mammalia, Primates, Cheirogaleidae. The record is from RefSeq and is a predicted model, not a curated record.
AAAAAAAAAAACCUUAAAAAAGAAAUACAUUUCAUGCCAGAUGGGACCUUCUUGGUUCGAGAUGCAUCAACAAAAAUGCAGGGAGAUUAUACUUUGACUUUGCGGAAGGGAGGCAAUAAUAAGUUGAUAAAGAUCUAUCAUCGGGAUGGUAAAUAUGGCUUUUCUGAUCCUCUGACAUUUAAUUCUGUGGUGGAGCUCAUUAACCACUAUCAUCAUGAGUCUCUUGCUCAGUACAAUCCCAAACUUGAUGUGAAGCUGACGUACCCAGUGUCCAGGUACCAACGGGAUCAGUUGGUAAAAGAAGAUAACAUUGAUGCAGUAGGUAAAAAACUGCAAGAGUACCACUCUCAGUAUCAGGAAAAGAGUAAAGAGUAUGAUAGGCUAUAUGAAGAAUAUACUAGAACAUCCCAGGAAAUACAGAUGAAGAGGACUGCAAUUGAAGCUUUUAAUGAAACAAUUAAAAUAUUUGAGGAACAGUGUCAUACACAAGAACAACACAGCAAAGAAUAUAUUGAGCGAUUUCGCAGAGAAGGGAAUGAAAAGGAGAUUGAACGAAUUAUGAUGAAUUAUGAUAAAUUGAAAUCCCGUAUGGGUGAGAUUCAUGACAGCAAAAUGCGUCUAGAGCAGGAUUUGAAGAAACAAGCUUUGGACAACCGAGAAAUAGAUAAAAAAAAAUGAAUAGCAUCAAACCUGACCUGAUGGAGCUGCGCAAGAUCCGAGAUCAGCACCUUGUAUGGCUCAAUCACAAAGGAGUGAGACAGAAGCGCCUGAAUGCAUGGCUAGGAAUCAAGAAUGAGGAUGCUGAUGAGAACUAUUUUAUCAAUGAAGAAGAUGAAAACCUGCCCCAUUAUGAUGAGAAAACCUGGUUUGUGGAGGAUAUCAAUCGAGUUCAAGCAGAGGAUUUGCUUUACGGGAAACCUGAUGGUGCAUUCUUAAUUCGUGAGAGCAGCAAGAAAGGAUGCUAUGCUUGCUCUGUGGUUGCCGAUGGGGAAGUGAAGCACUGUGUGAUCUACAGCACUGCUCGGGGCUGUGCCUUUGCAGAGCCCUACAACCUGUACAGCUCUCUGAUAGAGCUGGUGCUCCAUUACCAGCAGACAUCCCUGGUUCAGCACAACGGCUCCCUCAACGUCCGGCUUGCCUACCCUGUCUAUGCACAGAUGCCCUCGCUCUGCAGAUAAAGAGGAAGUGGGGAGAGAGGUCGCUCUCUAGCAUUCUUUUCUACAGUUUUUAUUAGACUACGAGGGCAUUCUUUCUACGUAGACUGCUUGUUUUGCACAAGAAGUGAUUCUGUGAAUGUGAAGUGGAGAGGCCGAGCAGCCGCUGGCCUGGAUGGGGGCAUUACGGGCCUGGGUUCUCUGCUACUCAGCAGUGCCACUCACUGCACUGACUUACUAAGCUGGAAGCAGAUGUUUUGGGGAAAGUCUAUUUCAUUGGAGUUUU